UACGUAGGGACCAAGCGUUGUUCGGAUUUACUGGGCGUAAAGGGCGCGUAGGCGGCAUGACAAGUCACUUGUGAAAUCUCUGGGUUUAACCCAGAACGGCCAAGUGAUACUGUCGCGCUAGAGUGCGGAAGGGGCAAUCGGAAUUCUCGGUGUAGCGGUGAAAUGCGUAGAUAUCGAGAGGAACACCUGAGGUGAAGACGGGUUGCUGGGCCGACACUGACGCUGAGUGCGCGAAAGCCAGGGGAGCAAACGGG
Molecule: ribosomal RNA, 254 nt
Filed under: uncultured bacterium
Lineage: Bacteria
Description: partial 16S ribosomal RNA
Rfam family: Bacterial small subunit ribosomal RNA
Source: RNAcentral